Long non-coding RNA from Acipenser ruthenus (sterlet), 976 nucleotides. RefSeq lists it as uncharacterized. The transcript is spliced from 4 exons. The record is from RefSeq and is a predicted model, not a curated record. NCBI's taxonomy places the organism in Eukaryota, Metazoa, Chordata, Actinopteri, Acipenseriformes, Acipenseridae.
UUUGCUCCCCUCCCCGCAGAGUAAGAGAGCGAGAGAGGCCAUCGAGGCGUGCUCGGAGGCUCAUCAGAGAGACCCGCGAAACAUCUUCAUCCUCCGAGACCGAGCAGAGGCCUUCAUCCUGAACCAGGAGUACGAGAAGGCUGUGGAAGACUAUCAAGAAGCCCGGGGAAUUCGACGCGGAGAAUCAGGAAAUCAGAGAGGGGCUGGAGCGCGCCCAGAAACUCCUCAAACAGUCCCAGAAGAGAGACUACUACAAAAAUCCUCGGGGUGCACAGAAACGCAAACAAGCAGGAGAUCACCAAGGCGUACAGGAAGCUGGCGCAGCAGUGGCACCCGGACAACUUCCAAUCCGAGGGGCAGAAGAAGGAAGCGGAGAAGAGGUUCAUCGACAUCGCCUCUGCCAAAGAGGUCCUGACAGACCCAGAAAUGCGACAGAAAUUUGACGCAGGCGAGGAUCCCCUGGACCCCGAAAGCCAGCAGGGAGGAGGGGGGGGAGGAGGGAACCCCAACAGCUGGCCUUUUGAGUUUAACCCCUUCGGUUCUGGGAACUUCCACUUCAAAUUUAAUUACAACUGAAAACAAACCUGGGAUCGCGUGGAACCUGCUGACUGAGCCGAGGGCUCUGCGAGGGAACGGUCCGAACCACUAGCCGUCUGAAAACUCUCUUCCCUGAUCAACAGAAAAAAACAGAACCCUCUUCCUUUUCUUAUGCUUCUAUGUUGAAGGCUCGUCUUUGUUGGGGGAGAUCAAUUGCUUCAAUCUUUAAUUUUACACACACUGCUGUGCAAAAGUCUUGGACAGAUUCUGGAGUUGCAAUCUGUAUCUGGAUGUUCUGAGCUUCAACAAUUUACUCAAAGCCUCCUCUAGUGUUUUUCCACGAUUAUAACAACUUUGACUGUUAUUAAUACAGCCGUAGUUCGGAUGAGAAGAAACCAAGCGUGUCAUUUUAGCAAUCUAUAAUUCACAUUGAUCAGAA